Rosa rugosa (rugosa rose) is the source of this 1762-nucleotide long non-coding RNA. RefSeq lists it as uncharacterized. The record is from RefSeq and is a predicted model, not a curated record. The transcript is spliced from 9 exons. NCBI's taxonomy places the organism in Eukaryota, Viridiplantae, Streptophyta, Magnoliopsida, Rosales, Rosaceae.
UCUCUAUUUCUCCGUAAGACUGAAACCCAAAAAAUCAGAAACGCACCAAACCCAAAUCUGAAUCACACAUCCCUUCCCGUUCGUCUUCUUCGUCAUUCUUUUUUCUCACUCUCUCAUAUCCCGAUCCAUUGCCUCUGAAAUUCAAUCCUAACCCCUCAGCUCCAAUACCCCACAUCUCUUAUGCUCUCCCCUCGAUUUUGUACUUUUAUGUUCUGUGAAUGUGUGAAUUGACGACUAUCUCAAUUUUUAUGAGGUUUGAGUUGAUUUUUCGAUCCAUGAUAGAUUUCCAAUUGCCCGGGCAGAAAUUUUGGUUUCCAAAUCGGCAAGCUGAGCAUGAAUCUUAUUUUCAGUUCAUCCUCGCGACUCUGCUUUGCCUCGUUUUGAAAGUGAUUCUGUUGAGGAAUUCAAUGGGUUGCAAGUUCAGCAAAUAAUUGCUAGUUGUAGAGGUUUUGGUUUCCGGUACAUUUGAUUAAACUGGGUUAGGGUUUGUGGAAUUUGGCUGGUAAUGUUGCUCAGUGCUCACUCUCAGAUUCUUUCAUUAAGGGUGGAUGCAUGGGCAUAUCGAUGGAUUCCAGAGCAAAGAAAAUGCAAGACCAGAUGUUUCAAUCAUUAAAUAUAAUGGUUUUAAAAUAGUUUGCAGGAUGAUAAUGAGUAUUCCCUUUCAAAAAUUUGGAGUAGAGACAUACAGUGUUGAGAAGGGAUUCACUCUCGGAUUACACUUUUUCUCUGAAUCCCUGUGUAUAAAUCUGACAUCUCCAGCUGCUUUCCAAUUCGAGAAGCCUCCAUCAAAGUCACCAUCUACUGUUACGCAAUAUCAGGUAUUCGACAUGUUUAAUUAAGAAGAUAGGUCACCAAUAUGUUUACUUUGACAGCUCAAGAGGAAGAAGGUCAACAAAACAAGAAACGGUUAUUGGUGAUUGCUCUGAUCACAAUUCCUAUGAUUAUGAUCCUACUGAGAACAAUGAUGUAUUUUCUAAAAAGGAGAGUAGUCAAGUCAAUUGGGAUUAUAGACAAAAUUAAAAGAUCAGUUUAUAGGCUAUUAAAUGUAAUUCCAGCUACAGUCAGUUUUAACAUCAAUGCUCCUAAUAUGUCUACAAGUUGGAGAGGGUGGUUUAUAUAUGUCUACAAGGAAGGAUGAGACCUGGGUGAGCCAGACAGAAUUGUGAGGAUUAUGAUAUGCAGUGGCCUUCAUCUCUGUUCAACUGAAGCCCCUUAGUUCGAUUCAAAGUUUUCAUGCAGAUCGAGAAGAAAGACAUCCAAGAUUUCAGAACCAACCCAUCUUUUUGAACGAAAUUUACGAAAGAGGAGGAGAAGGCCAAGGUCAAAGACUUGCACCCCGAGCUUCUAGCUGGGAUGUUCUUUUUCUUUUUGCUGGAACAACUGGUGGAGCAACAGCUCUUCUGACUUCUCACAAACCCAAUCUGGGAAGCAGUUUCACGUCAAUGAUUUCUAUCGAUCUCUAUUGCUCUACUGUGGUAGAUGAAGUAACUACAGGAAACUGUCAAGGGACAAUUAUGGAGAUUAUGUGAUCCCCAAGGGAAGCCACCAGGUGUAAUAUAAUAGUACAACUAGCUAGUUCCUAUAUUUAACUUGUGUCUAGUAGAAAUUUUUCCUUCAUUAAGAAUUUGGACUUGUUUGCAGAUUCAAAUUAGUAGAUAUGAGCCAUUUUGAAUUGAUGCUCAUGAUUAGGUUUGUGUACAUGAGACAAUGAUGGAUUAGUGGAAAUUGCAAUGAAUGCUUUUGGAUGUGGAUUUUAUGGUUU